AUUGAACUGACUAGUCCCAAAUAGAACGAAACGCGUGUCCUGGAU
RNAcentral lists this non-coding RNA (45 nucleotides) under Schistosoma mattheei. Lineage: Eukaryota; Metazoa; Platyhelminthes; Trematoda; Strigeidida; Schistosomatidae. The record is from RNAcentral.